This 468-nucleotide ribosomal RNA is filed under the name uncultured bacterium. Its description in RNAcentral is "partial 16S ribosomal RNA". It matches the Rfam family "Bacterial small subunit ribosomal RNA", at positions 28 to 507 of the family's 1533-position model. The record is from RNAcentral.
GACGAACGCUGGCGGCGUGCUUAACACAUGCAAGUCGAACGGAAAGGCCCUGCUUUUGGGGGUUGCUCGGGUGGCAAACGGGUGAGUAACCCGUGAGUAACCUGCCCUUAACUUUGGGAUAACUUCAGGAAACUGGGGCUAAUACCGGAUAGGAGCUCCUGCUGCAUGGUGGGGGUGGGAAAGUUUCGGCGGUUGGGGAUGGACUCGCGGCUUAUCAGCUUGUUGGUGGGGUAGUGGCUUACCAAGGCUUUGACGGGUAGCCGGCCUGAGAGGGUGACCGGCCACAUUGGGACUGAGAUACGGCCCAGACUCCUACGGGAGGCAGCAGUGGGGAAUAUUGCACAAUGGGCGGAAGCCUGAUGCAGCAACGCCGCGUGCGGGAUGACGGCCUUCGGGUUGUAAACCGCUUUCGCCUGUGACGAAGCGUGAGUGACGGUAAUGGGUAAAGAAGCACCGGCUAACUACGUG